RNAcentral lists this ribosomal RNA (434 nucleotides) under uncultured bacterium. RNAcentral describes it as "partial 16S ribosomal RNA". It matches the Rfam family "Bacterial small subunit ribosomal RNA", at positions 29 to 507 of the family's 1533-position model. The record is from RNAcentral.
AGCGAACGCUGGCGGCAGGCCUAACACAUGCAAGUCGAACGAACCUUUCGGGGUUAGUGGCGGACGUGUGAGUAACACGUGGGAACGUGCCUUUAGGUUCGGAAUAACUCAGGGAAACUUGUGCUAAUACCGAAUGUGCCCUUCGGGGGAAAGAUUAAUCGCCUUUAGAGCGGCCCGCGUCUGAUUAGCUAGUUGGUUGAGGUAAUGGCUCACCAAGGCGACGAUCAGUAGCUGGUCUGAGAGGAUGAUCAGCCACAUUGGGACUGAGACACGGCCCAAACUCCUACGGGAGGCAGCAGUGGGGAAUCUUGCGCAAUGGGCGAAAGCCUGACGAAGCCAUGCCGCGUGAAUGAUGAAGGUCUUAGGAUUGUAAAAUUCUUUCACCGGGGACGAUAAUGACGGUACCCGGAGAAGAAGCCCCGGCUAACUUCGUG